This 497-nucleotide ribosomal RNA is filed under the name uncultured bacterium. Its description in RNAcentral is "partial 16S ribosomal RNA". It matches the Rfam family "Bacterial small subunit ribosomal RNA", at positions 28 to 507 of the family's 1533-position model. The record is from RNAcentral.
GACGAACGCUGGCGGCGUGCCUAAUACAUGCAAGUUGAGCGCUGAAGGUUGGUACUUGUACCAACUGGAUGAGCAGCGAACGGGUGAGUAACGCGUGGGUAAUCUGCCUUUGAGCGGGGGACAACAUUUGGAAACGAAUGCUAAUACCGCAUAAAAACUUUAAACACAAGUUUUAAGUUUGAAAGAUGCAAUUGCAUCACUCAAAGAUGAUCCCGCGUUGUAUUAGCUAGUUGGUGAGGUAAAGGCUCACCAAGGCGAUGAUACAUAGCCGACCUGAGAGGGGGGUCGGCCACAUUGGGACUGAGACACGGCCCAAAAUCCUAAGGGAGGCAGCAGGAGGGAAUCUUCGGCAAUGGGCGAAAGUCUGAACGAGCAAAGCCGGGUGAGUGAAGAAGGGUUUCGGAUCGGAAAACUCUGUUGGUAGAGAAGAAAGAUGGUGAGAGUGGAAAGCUCAUCAAGUGACGGUAACUACCCAGAAAGGGACGGCUAACUACGUG